This 253-nucleotide ribosomal RNA is filed under the name uncultured bacterium. RNAcentral describes it as "partial 16S ribosomal RNA". It matches the Rfam family "Bacterial small subunit ribosomal RNA", at positions 524 to 776 of the family's 1533-position model. The record is from RNAcentral.
UACGUAGGGUGCGAGCGUUGUCCGGAAUUACUGGGCGUAAAGAGCUUGUAGGUGGUUUGUCGCGUUGUUCGUGAAAUCUCACGGCUUAACUGUGAGCGUGCGGGCGAUACGGGCAGACUAGAGUACUGCAGGGGAGACUGGAAUUCCUGGUGUAGCGGUGGAAUGCGCAGAUAUCAGGAGGAACACCGGUGGCGAAGGCGGUUCUCUGGGCCUUACCUGACGCUGAGGAGCGAAAGCGUGGGGAGCAAACAGG